Molecule: ribosomal RNA, 550 nt
Filed under: uncultured bacterium
Lineage: Bacteria
Description: partial 16S ribosomal RNA
Rfam family: Bacterial small subunit ribosomal RNA
Source: RNAcentral
UGGGGAAUAUUGCACAAUGGGCGCAAGCCUGAUGCAGCCAUGCCGCGUGUGUGAAGAAGGCCUUCGGGUUGUAAAGCACUUUCAGCGAGGAGGAAGGUGGUGAACUUAAUACGUUCAUCAAUUGACGUUACUCGCAGAAGAAGCACCGGCUAACUCCGUGCCAGCAGCCGCGGUAAUACGGAGGGUGCAAGCGUUAAUCGGAAUUACUGGGCGUAAAGCGCACGCAGGCGGUUUGUUAAGUCAGAUGUGAAAUCCCCGGGCUCAACCUGGGAACUGCAUUUGAAACUGGCAAGCUAGAGUCUCGUAGAGGGGGGUAGAAUUCCAGGUGUAGCGGUGAAAUGCGUAGAGAUCUGGAGGAAUACCGGUGGCGAAGGCGGCCCCCUGGACGAAGACUGACGCUCAGGUGCGAAAGCGUGGGGCAGCAAACAGGAUUAGAUACCCUGGUAGUCCACGCUGUAAACGAUGUCGAUUUUGGAGGUUGUGCCCUUGAGGCGUGGCUUCCGGAGCUAACGCGUUAAAUCGACCGCCUGGGGAGUACGGCCGCAAGGUU